GCCUUCAUGGUGUAACGGCAGCACACUCGGGGGGUAUUCGAGAGGUCCAGGUUCGAAUCCCGGCGAUGGCA
This 71-nucleotide transfer RNA is filed under the name Stegodyphus mimosarum. It matches the Rfam family "tRNA". From Rfam's summary of the family: Transfer RNA (tRNA) molecules are approximately 80 nucleotides in length. Their secondary structure includes four short double-helical elements and three loops (D, anti-codon, and T loops). Further hydrogen bonds mediate the characteristic L-shaped molecular structure. tRNAs have two regions of fundamental functional importance: the anti-codon, which is responsible for specific mRNA codon recognition, and the 3' end, to which the tRNAs corresponding amino acid is attached (by aminoacyl-tRNA synthetases). tRNAs cope with the degeneracy of the genetic code in two manners: having more than one tRNA (with a specific anti-codon) for a particular amino acid; and 'wobble' base-pairing, i.e. permitting non-standard base-pairing at the 3rd anti-codon position. The record is from Rfam by way of RNAcentral. Lineage: Eukaryota; Metazoa; Arthropoda; Arachnida; Araneae; Eresidae.